RNAcentral lists this ribosomal RNA (484 nucleotides) under uncultured bacterium. RNAcentral describes it as "partial 16S ribosomal RNA". It matches the Rfam family "Bacterial small subunit ribosomal RNA", at positions 29 to 507 of the family's 1533-position model. The record is from RNAcentral.
AUUGAACGCUAGCGGGAUGCUUUACACAUGCAAGUCGAACGGCAGCGCGGACUUCGGUCUGGCGGCGAGUGGCGAACGGGUGAGUAAUGUAUCGGAACGUGCCCAGUAGCGGGGGAUAACUACGCGAAAGCGUAGCUAAUACCGCAUACGCCCUACGGGGGAAAGCAGGGGAUCGUAAGACCUUGCACUAUUGGAGCGGCCGAUAUCGGAUUAGCUAGUUGGUGAGGUAACGGCUCACCAAGGCGACGAUCCGUAGCUGGUUUGAGAGGACGACCAGCCACACUGGGACUGAGACACGGCCCAGACUCCUACGGGAGGCAGCAGUGGGGAAUUUUCGACAAUGGGGGCAAGCCUGAUCCAGCAACCCCGCGUGAGCGAUGAAGGCCUUCGGGUUGUAAAGCACUUUUGGCAGGAAAGAAACGUCGCGGGCGAAUACCCCGUGGAACUGACGGUACCUGCAGAAUAAGCACCGGCUAACUACGUG